GAUGAACGCUUGCGUCUUGCCUAAUACAUGCAAGUCGAGCGAACGGACGAGAAGCUUGCUUCUCUGAUAUUAGCGGCCGACGGGUGAGUAACACGUUGAUAACCUACCUAUCAGACUGGGAUAACUUCGGGAAACCGGAGCUAAUACCUGUUAAUAUUUUGAACCUCAUGGUUCAAAAGUGAAAGACGGUCUUGCUGUCACUUAUAGAUGGAUCCGCGCUGCAUUAGCUAGUUGGUAAGGUAACGGCUUACCAAGGCAACGAUGCAUAGCUGACCUGAGAGAGUGAUCGGCAACACAGGAAAAGAGACACGGUCCAGACUACUAAGAGAGGAAGCAGUAGGGAAUCUCGGGAAAGGGGCGAAAGCCGGACGAAGCAAAGAGGCGUGAGUGAUGAAGGAAUACGGAUCGUAAAAAUCAAUUAUAAGAGAAGAACAUAUGUGUAAGUAACGGUGAACGUCUUGAAGGUACCUAACCAGAAAGACACAACUAACUAAGUG
Molecule: ribosomal RNA, 497 nt
Filed under: uncultured bacterium
Lineage: Bacteria
Description: partial 16S ribosomal RNA
Rfam family: Bacterial small subunit ribosomal RNA
Source: RNAcentral